GUGUCAGCAGCCGCGGUAAUACGUAGGGUGCAAGCGUUAAUCGGAAUUACUGGGCGUAAAGCGUGCGCAGGCGGUUUGCUAAGACCGAUGUGAAAUCCCCGGGCUCAACCUGGGAACUGCAUUGGUGACUGGCAGGCUAGAGUAUGGCAGAGGGGGGUAGAAUUCCACGUGUAGCAGUGAAAUGCGUAGAGAUGUGGAGGAAUACCGAUGGCGAAGGCAGCCCCCUGGGCCAAUACUGACGCUCAUGCACGAAAGCGUGGGGAGCAAACAGGAUUAGAAACCCCUGUAGUCC
RNAcentral lists this ribosomal RNA (292 nucleotides) under uncultured prokaryote. Its description in RNAcentral is "partial 16S ribosomal RNA". It matches the Rfam family "Bacterial small subunit ribosomal RNA", at positions 505 to 796 of the family's 1533-position model. The record is from RNAcentral.